RNAcentral lists this ribosomal RNA (531 nucleotides) under Triticum aestivum (bread wheat). RNAcentral describes it as "partial small subunit ribosomal RNA". The record is from RNAcentral. Lineage: Eukaryota; Viridiplantae; Streptophyta; Magnoliopsida; Poales; Poaceae.
AUGUUUCAACAAAUGCUUGUAGGGUCCGAUCAUGACAACAUGGAUGAUGACGAGGAAGGGAGCAUGUCGUCUGCUAUACCUAGCGAGGUUGAUCCAUUAGAAUUUGUUUACACAAACAUCCCCGACACCACUCACAUCCUGAAGCUCGACGCAAACUGCAAACACUGCAAGGCCAAAAAGUUUGUCUCUGAGACCGACGGGUUCUGCUGUCGCAAUGGCCAGAUCGAACUUAAACAACCGGAGCCAAUCCCAGAGCUGAUGAGGCUAUGGUCAAGCAUGGAUGCAGAUUCUAGACAUUUUCAGGAGAACAUAAGGUUCUUCAACGGGCAUUUCGCCUUCACAACCCUUGGCGUCAGCCUUGAUGAGAACUACACAAACAUGAAGUCUGGGGUGUACACAUUCCGUGCGCACGGCUCCAUCUACCACAAUGUGCAUUCGUUCGGGCCUAGCUCCCGUCCAGAACAUCUGCAGUUGUACUUCUAUGAUGACGACCCAACCAUAACUCAUCUAAGGUGGCCACCAAGCAAUUAG